This 285-nucleotide ribosomal RNA is filed under the name uncultured prokaryote. Its description in RNAcentral is "partial 16S ribosomal RNA". It matches the Rfam family "Bacterial small subunit ribosomal RNA", at positions 355 to 635 of the family's 1533-position model. The record is from RNAcentral.
UGAAGAAUCUUGCGCAAUGGGGGAAACCCUGACGCAGCGACGCCGCGUGGACGAUGAAGGCCUUCGGGUUGUAAAGUCCGAUAAGCAGGGAAGAAUAAGCAACGGGUAAUAUUCGUUGUGAUGACGGUACCUGCCUAAAGCCCCGGCUAACUACGUGCCAGCAGCCGCGGUAAUACGUAUGGGGCUAGCGUUGUUCGGAAAUAUGGGGCGGAAAGGGCGUCUAGGCGGGGGAUUAAGUUGGGUGUGAAAGCCCUGGGCUCAACCCAGGAACUGCAUCCAAAACUG